Molecule: non-coding RNA, 99 nt
Organism: Aspergillus leporis
Lineage: Eukaryota; Fungi; Ascomycota; Eurotiomycetes; Eurotiales; Aspergillaceae
Source: the annotation of a GenBank genome assembly
GGCAGGAUGGCCGAGUGGUCUAAGGCGUUCGACUCGAAUCCGCAUAGGAUCGGUUAUCGAAUCUCUUCGGAGGCAUGGGUUCAAAUCCCAUUCCUGUCG